GACAGGGGUCUCGAGCGUUAAUCGGAAUCACUGGGCUUAAAGGGUGCGUAGGCGGGCCUGCAAGUGCCUUGUGAAAUCCCCCGGCUCAACCGGGGAACUGCGGGGCAUACUGCGGGUCUUGAGGAAGGUAGGCGCCGAGGGAACAGUAGGUGGAGCGGUGAAAUGCGUAGAUAUCUACUGGAACGCCGAUGGUGAAGACGCUCGGCUGGGCCUUUCCUGACGCUGAGGCACGAAAGCGUGGGGAGCAAAC
Molecule: ribosomal RNA, 250 nt
Filed under: uncultured bacterium
Lineage: Bacteria
Description: partial 16S ribosomal RNA
Rfam family: Bacterial small subunit ribosomal RNA
Source: RNAcentral